Long non-coding RNA from Esox lucius (northern pike), 1560 nucleotides. The record is from Ensembl. NCBI's taxonomy places the organism in Eukaryota, Metazoa, Chordata, Actinopteri, Esociformes, Esocidae.
CGUCAUGUGUCACAGCUGGCUGAAGGUAGGAGUCAAACGUAGGGAGUUGCUUGAUUGUAAUUUAUUGCACAAAGGAAGCCAGCACAAAAACAAUGCCUAGGCUGGCAAGAACUGACACUGGGUAACUGUAAACCCAGAAACUCAUUCAAUUCAUUGGAGUUCAUUUGUUUCAUUUUGGGAGAUAUUUUCUGAAACAUCUUUUUGGUUGUCUACUCACCACAGUGGCAGGUAGUUUUGGCAUAUCUAUGCAACAAAGCAUAGAUUACCAGCAUUUAAAGGCUACCAGGUGUUAAUCUCCUACUCUGGUGGCUACCCCUACAACCACCCACCAAUGUUGUGGCUAUAUGAAACUUCCGCAAGAGGUGGGGGUCCAGGAUGUCGGAGCCUGGGGGCACCAGCAGAGGGAGCCCCUGGAGAGAGAGCCAUGACACCAUGUCUAUUAUAUGGCUCAAAUUUGGGACUGCUUUUUUUGGGUUACCUCUAAAUUCUAUCAUGACUGGCAGUGCAUUUCAAAAUGCAUAAUGGGCUGUGGAGAGGGAAGAUCUGUGUAGAGCCAGCGCUGUUCUUCUAUACUGUAACUCGAAUGUCAGCAUGUGCAUAAGUCAUGACAAAAGGAUGUCGUCUGGUGAGCACAUUUAUUAUCCAAUACAGUUUUUUACGAUUGUUUACACACUAAAAUAGAAAUUCUACUCCAAUGAGUAAAACACCUCCACUGAUUUGCACAACAUUACACACAAUGUCUGCUUCACCCUUUUGGCAAAACAUUACACACUGAUUUGUAAAACUCUACACACAUUUUCACACCUUAGACACAGAUAAGGAUUGUGAGGUUACUUCCUUGUCAUUACAAAGCCCCGGAUUGCCAAUGACCACACUAAUGAACAAAUUGGAUAAUCACAUCCACCAGGUGUGAACGCACACGUGCUAAUUUGAUUACACAGCACUCAAAUGCUGUAAAAGGCAGCAGGUGAGUUCACCUGUCUUCAACAAAAAUGGAAGGAGCUAGAAGAAGAAGAAGAAAAAUAAGAGUGAGAAUGAGAGGGGGAGCUCAAAGAGGAGAUGAAGGAGGUAGAGAAAGAGGAGAAGAAGGAGGUAGAGGAGGAGGCCCAGGUAGAGGAAGAGGAGGAGAAGAAGGUAGAGGAGGAGGCCCAGGUAGAGGAAGAGGAGGAGGCCCAGGUAGAGGAAGAGGAGGAGGUAGAGGAUGAGGCCCAUGUAGAGGAAGAGAAGGAGGUAGAGGAAGAGGAGGUGAAGGAGGUAGAGGAAGAGGCCUAGGUAGAGGAAGAGGAGGAGAAGGAGGUAGAGGAAGAGGCCCAGGUAGAGAAGGACUUGAAGAGUUGAUAGAACCUGAACAAAGAAGACGAGGACCAAAUUUGACUCAAGAAAUCUGUGCAACAAUUAUUGACCAUGUUAUCAACCAUGGACUGACACUGAUGGAAGCUGGACAAAGAGUUCAACCAAAUCUCAGCAGAAAUACUGUUGCGUCAGUAAUUCGGACAUUUCAUUGCGGAAAACAGAUAAGCUAACCACACAGUACAUUGAAACUGAAGCUUGCUGUACUUA